CAGAACUUAAAGGAAUUGACGGGGGCCGCACAAGCGGAGGAGCAUGUGGUUUAAUUCGAUGAUACGCGAGGAACCUUACCUGGGCUCGAACGUAAGAUGACUGUAGGUGAAAGCUUACAUCUCUUCGGAGCAUUUUACGAGGUGCUGCAUGGUUGUCGUCAGCUCGUGCCGUGAGGUGUCGGGUUAAGUCCCAUAACGAGCGCAACCCCUACCUUUAGUUGCCAUCAGGUUAAGCUGGGGACUCUAAAGGAACUGCCUACGCAAGUAGUGAGGAAGGCGGGGAUGACGUCAAAUCAGCACGGCCCUUACGUCCAGGGCUACACACGUGCUACAAUGGCCGAUACAGAGGGCAGCUACCUGGUGACAGGAUGCAAAUCUCCAAAGUCGGUCUCAGUUCGGAUCGGAGUCUGCAACCCGACUCCGUGAAGUUGGAUUCGCUAGUAAUCGCGCAUCAGCCAUGGCGCGGUGAAUACGUUCCCGGGCCUU
RNAcentral lists this ribosomal RNA (486 nucleotides) under uncultured Sphingobacteriales bacterium. RNAcentral describes it as "bacterial SSU rRNA". It matches the Rfam family "Bacterial small subunit ribosomal RNA", at positions 895 to 1382 of the family's 1533-position model. The record is from RNAcentral. Lineage: Bacteria; Pseudomonadati; Bacteroidota; Sphingobacteriia; Sphingobacteriales.